RNAcentral lists this long non-coding RNA (1709 nucleotides) under Oryza sativa (Asian cultivated rice). RNAcentral's name for it is "long non-coding RNA (OSAT_LNC000515)". The record is from RNAcentral. Lineage: Eukaryota; Viridiplantae; Streptophyta; Magnoliopsida; Poales; Poaceae.
ACGGUGAGCAGCUCUGCCUUCGCCUCUGCCUCUCCCGCGUUCUCUGUCCUUGUAGUCUAUCGCUUGCUGUGCUGCGGUUGUGUGGGCGUGACAUGAUUGGUUGCGUGGAGGCGGUUGGUCGGAUAAGUUUCGUUGUUUCGGUUAGUGUUUCGUGUUCCGAUUUGUCUGGGGUUGGGGAGGAGUCGGCUGCUCCGUGGGUUGAUUUGCUUUUCCGUGAAUUCUGGGGAGUUUUUAUUUUUUUUCUGCACAUCUCCGUUAUUGGGAAUUUUUGCCCUUAUUGUCGGUUUUCUCAAUCUGGGAAUAGAUUGUUGAGUUUAUAUAGAUUAGUGAUUGUAUUGGAGAUCUGAGCGAGUUUGCGGUGUGAAAUCUGAACCGUGUUGCUAAUAUCUAAUCCUGCCUUUUUGUUUGUGCUAAUAUAAGCAGUAGUUUUUAAGAUUCUUAGGCCAGUCACAAUGGGGGUUUCACUGGUGUGUCAUGCACAUUUAAUAGGGGUAAGACUGAAUAAAAAAUGAUUAUUUGCAUGAAAUGGGGAUGAGAGAGAAGGAAAGAGUUUCAUCCUGGUGAAACUCGUCAGCGUCGUUUCCAAGUCCUCGGUAACAGAGUGAAACCCCCGUUGAGGCCGAUUCGUUUCAUUCACCGGAUCUCUUGCGUCCGCCUCCGCCGUGCGACCUCCGCAUUCUCCCGCGCCGCGCCGGAUUUUGGGUACAAAUGAUCCCAGCAACUUGUAUCAAUUAAAUGCUUUGCUUAGUCUUGGAAACGUCAAAGUGAAACCCCUCCACUGUGGGGAUUGUUUCAUAAAAGAUUUCAUUUGAGAGAAGAUGGUAUAAUAUUUUGGGUAGCCGUGCAAUGACACUAGCCAUUGUGACUGGCCUUAUAUUCUGUGGAUUCAUGCGGGCUUCGAAUUACUAUUAUAUCAUCCCAACCUAAGACUUGCAAUAUAUUGGGAAUAUAUCGUCGAUGCUCCUAGCUUUUGUUCCCUAUCCCGAUAACAUUUUGUUAUGCCUAAUGACUGUGAAUUAUCACCCAUAGUAAUGACUGCAAAUUAUCACGGAAAGUUUAGCUUAGGAUCAGGAGUUUAUUAGAGGCGCUAUGCAUCACCCACCUACCCCACAGUUAAGUUUUGUUGCAACAGGAACGAAUACUCCAAGGAUGCAAUGCGGCAUAUCUAGGUUGCAGCCUAUAUAGAAUCUUUGUUCUGUAAAGUGUUGCUAUUCCUUUCUAGUUUCUGUUCUGGGCGCCAAUAGUUCACAUAUGCGCAUCACAGCUUAGGGGAAAUAACAAAUAAUAUAAUGGGUUUAUUACUGAUCUAUUUUUUCUUAUUAUAUUACAGUUGAUUUAUUUCCUACUAUAAGUUGAAUGUGUGCAGCAUGAGAAACUGUUGGAUUUUAUUCCUUAUCCAGUCUUCUCUAUUGAAUGAUCUCUGCUUUAAAACGAACGUGAAAAGCAUUAGGCAUACCCAUGGAGGUAUUCAGUAUUCAUAAUGUAAUGCAAUUGUACAUAAAUAUCAUCUGCUGCUUUUAUGCCUUCAAAUACACUUUUAAGUUUAUAUCAUGUUGUGUGCAGUACUUUUUCGUUGCUUUGUUUUGUUUUCACUCUGUUGUUUCCGAAAAUUCCACUCGUUCGUGGGAAGCUAAUAUCGUAAUUUGCAUCUGCUUCAUUUGUAUGUCUGAAUAGUUAUUUUGUUUACUUUGUUUUUUUUGGGCAGCGAC